This 2379-nucleotide long non-coding RNA is filed under the name Homo sapiens (human). Its description in RNAcentral is "HSALNT0323956". The record is from RNAcentral. Lineage: Eukaryota; Metazoa; Chordata; Mammalia; Primates; Hominidae.
UUGUGAAGUCAGAGAGCUGUCGGCCAGGCAACAUCUCUAAGUGGGGAUGGAGGCAGCCAUCUGCUGGUUGUAAUUUUGGGGCAAAAGAACAGAUAGCUACACUGUCCCCAAAAUAUCACACGCAUGGAAGGAUGUUGGAAAUUAAUGUUGGUAAAAAGAAAGUAUAUGAAAAUGUCUUUAUAAAUUAUAACAUGCUAUAUAAGUGGCAUUACAGUGAUCAAAGGUAAAGCAACACAUAUUAUAAGGAUAAGAUAAAAUUUGAUUACAUAAGCACCUUAGCAGGCCUUAGGACAUAAGAGGCUUCAUCCAUUUCUUCCUCCUUCCUGAGUGCCUGCAGGAGAUGAAUGAGACACAGUUUCCGCUCCCACAGAGCUUGCAAUCUUUUAGGGGCAACCGGGUACUUACGCAUGACGCCAGGCAGACAGUGAUGAGUGCCAUGAGAGCAACGGCUGCCUCCUAUAGGGACAGAAAACACUUUCUCUCUACUCUCUGAGUUUUCAUAAUUGACUCCAGGACAGUAGGCAGAUGAACAGGAGAAAAAAACAUGCACAUUUAUUACACGGAUGGGAGCAGCACGAGAAACAAAAGGUGGACACCAUGACAAAAUGCUCAGACUGACUUAAACAAAAGUGGGAGGCUACCGUUUCACACAAGUCAGAUGUGCAGUUGAGUAUGGCCUGACCGAGAGAAGGAAUUGUGUCAGCAGGAUUCUUUUCUCCACAGUGCUGCUUCUAGCUUGGUUCCCCUGCCAGGUGUUUAUGGCAGCAUCUCCUGACUUCAACUCCCAGAAUCUCUGGGAUUCCCCAUCCUGGUUUCAAGAUGCUGCAGAGGAAGCCCACUGCAAGCUUCACGUCUUUGGAGCAGCGAAUUCAAUAAAGAGUGCAGGACCCUAUUUCCCAGAGCCUCAGCUAAGUCUUCAUGUCCUCUUGGCUUCACUUGGGUUAAAUUCCCAACCCUAACACAGUCAUGUGGCAAAGGAGAUGGGAAACGGUCAUUGGCUUGAGCCAAUGUGAACUCACUCUUGUCCCAUGAAGGAAGGCACUAGUCAUAUCUCUUUAUGCUCCAAAAUUUAGCCCAGUGCUCUCAGUAAAUGACUCUUUUUUAUGUUAUGAAAGAAAACCAAGAAGGGUUGGUUUGGUGGGAAGAUGAACUCAGAGCUUUGGUAGGGAAGGAGUGAGACCCCAAGGCUUAGGUUGGGGACAAUAGGUAGAUGCAAUCGAGAGCUCUCACUGUAAUAUUCUCUGGAAUCCUUGAACUUCAGAAGUGGCCCACAUGGCCUAAUUGGAAGAUAGUGGGCCCUUCUUACUUGAAGACCAGAUAGUGAGACAGUGCCUUAUAAGACAACAUCUGUCUUCCUCAGGAUCUGCUCUACCUCCACUCCCAGCCACAAAAUUCAUAAUUAAGGUCAGAUGUCAGCACAACCUAACAGGGAAAGCAGAGCCUGCUAAGGGAGAAGAGGGAUUCUACACCCAAGCAGCUCAGAACCUGGCUGAUGUGUACUGGCAAGAACUGGUGAGUAUGCCUGGAAGUGAAUCUCCAUGGUGCUGGACCAAAAGGUUGGAAUAUAAAACUGGAUAAGAGAGAGUUUCUCUAUAAGGGGGCACUCCUCUUUCACUCAGAAUUAGCUACCUGGCAAGGGUCCCAGGAUGUGGGUCUCAUACACCGCUUGGAUAAGUCCUGGAAACUUGCAGAAAGUGUUGGCCUACAAAAAAAUGAAGUAAAGAUGGCAGAACUACCAGCACUGACUGUGGAGAAAAGAAUCAAGAGGCUUGGAGAAGUGGACAUGCUAGAAUAGUUCUCCCACGGGAGGUCAGUUGACCAUGCUCCUGGGGAGAACACUGCAUGGAUGCAGGUGAUAAGGAAUGCACUGGACACAGAGCCAUCCUGUGCAAAUAACUCACCAUCUUCCUGCGCCCAGCUAUCACCAGACACUCGGCUGAUAGAAAAAUGCAAGUUAGCUCACUGCGACCUUGGCAUUAUCAGUACCGCACAAAGCCCUCUUCAGCACACAGCACAAGCACCAUCCUAUAAAAUCUCCAGCAAGCUUUUGUCUCCUUGCAGUCAGCUCCUCUCUUGCUGACUUGCCCAUUGCUUUCCUGAAAUACAUUUUCCUACUUUUUCCAAUAAAUCUGCCUUUCUUUACCUAAAACUAUCUUGAUAAAUUCUUUUUACCAUCUGUGCCACCAGCCCUAGGCAGUUGCUACCCAUGACAGUGAGGAUACCAGCACACUGAGAAACUCAGUGGCAGCUGUCUUCUGUAGGUUGGGGCUGACAAGAGAUGACACUACAGAACUGAUCACACAGUAGCAGAGGCCAGCAGCACUUAAUCGUCAGAAGCUAGAUGGCAUAAUAAGGACAGUAAAUCUGGAAUGACAGUCA